This 468-nucleotide ribosomal RNA is filed under the name uncultured bacterium. Its description in RNAcentral is "partial 16S ribosomal RNA". It matches the Rfam family "Bacterial small subunit ribosomal RNA", at positions 28 to 507 of the family's 1533-position model. The record is from RNAcentral.
GACGAACGCUGGCGGCGUGCUUAACACAUGCAAGUCGAACGGAAAGGCCCUGCUUUUGUGGGGUGCUCGAGUGGCGAACGGGUGAGUAACACGUGAGUAACCUGCCCUUGACUUUGGGAUAACUUCAGGAAACUGGGGCUAAUACCGGAUAGGAGCUCCUGCUGCAUGGUGGGGGUUGGAAAGUUUCGGCGGUUGGGGAUGGACUCGCGGCUUAUCAGCUUGUUGGUGGGGUAGUGGCUUACCAAGGCUUUGACGGGUAGCCGGCCUGAGAGGGUGACCGGCCACAUUAGGACUGAGAUACGGCCCAGACGCCAACGGGAGGCAGCAGUGGGGAAUAUUGCACAAUGGGCGGGAGCCGGAUGCAGCAACGCCGCGUGCGGGAUGACGGCCUUCGGGUUGUAAACCGCUUUCGCCUGUGACGAAGCGUGAGUGACGGUAAUGGGUAAAGAAGCACCGGCUAACUACGUG